CUUGCGCCAGCUAUAAUGCAGUCGAGCGAAUGGAUUAAGAGCUUGCUCUUAUGAAGUUAGCGGCGGACGGGUGAGUAACACGUGGGUAACCUGCCCAUAAGACUGGGAUAACUCCGGGAAACCGGGGCUAAUACCGGAUAACAUUUUGAACCGCAUGGUUCGAAAUUGAAAGGCGGCUUCGGCUGUCACUUAUGGAUGGACCCGCGUCGCAUUAGCUAGUUGGUGAGGUAACGGCUCACCAAGGCAACGAUGCGUAGCCGACCUGAGAGGGUGAUCGGCCACACUGGGACUGAGACACGGCCCAGACUCCUACGGGAGGCAGCAGUAGGGAAUCUUCCGCAAUGGACGAAAGUCUGACGGAGCAACGCCGCGUGAGUGAUGAAGGCUUUCGGGUCGUAAAACUCUGUUGUUAGGGAAGAACAAGUGCUAGUUGAAUAAGCUGGCACCUUGACGGUACCUAACCAGAAAGCCACGGCUAACUACGUGCCAGCAGCCGCGGUAAUACGUAGGUGGCAAGCGUUAUCCGGAAUUAUUGGGCGUAAAGCGCGCGCAGGUGGUUUCUUAAGUCUGAUGUGAAAGCCCACGGCUCAACCGUGGAGGGUCAUUGGAAACUGGGAGACUUGAGUGCAGAAGAGGAAAGUGGAAUUCCAUGUGUAGCGGUGAAAUGCGUAGAGAUAUGGAGGAACACCAGUGGCGAAGGCGACUUUCUGGUCUGUAACUGACACUGAGGCGCGAAAGCGUGGGGAGCAAACAGGAUUAGAG
This 762-nucleotide ribosomal RNA is filed under the name Bacillus cereus. Its description in RNAcentral is "bacterial SSU rRNA". It matches the Rfam family "Bacterial small subunit ribosomal RNA", at positions 36 to 783 of the family's 1533-position model. Lineage: Bacteria; Bacillati; Bacillota; Bacilli; Caryophanales; Bacillaceae. The record is from RNAcentral.